ACCCGCUGAACUUAAGCAUAUAAUUAAGCGGAGGAAAAGAAACUAACCAGGAUUCCCCUAGUAACGGCGAGUGAAGCGGGAAGAGUUCAAGCCUAAAAUCUCCAGUGUUCCACUGGCGAAUUGUAGUCUAUGGGUCAUGUGUGCGUGAGGCACCGAGGGUAAAUUCCUUGGAAUGGGAUCCUACAGAGGGUGAGAGGCCCGUAUGUACCUCGUGUGCCGAACUUCAGUCAUGCAAGUCCUCAGAGUCGGGUUGCUUGGGAGUGCAGCUCUAAGUGGGAGGUAAAUUUCUUCUAAAACUAAAUACGGGCGAGAGACCGAUAGCGUACAAGUACCGUGAGGGAAAGAUGAAAAGGACUUUGAAAAGAGAGUUAAAAGUGCUUGAAACUGUUAAGGGCUAACCGCAUGGGAAGAGCGUAUUGUGUUUGUGACACUUAGGGCUGAUGGUGUGCGCUGGCGGCUCGAGUUGGGUCAAACCGCUCGUGUCGAUUGUUGUAUAUUGUUGGUCUGCACUUGUCGCAUUCACAGGUCAAGCUGGCUUCUAUGCCGGUGGGAAAAUGGCUAAAGUGCGCGUCGUGUGCUUGCAUGCGUCGGUCUUGGCUGAUACCACCGGAAGGGGUGAGGAAUCAAGCGUUGUCAUCGCCGCUGCGGUUGGCUGCUUUGUUGAAGCCGGUAGCACUGCCUCUGGUAUGUGUUGCUGGCCUCUUCGGGGCACUCCGGCUGAACAGGGACUUGCUCGCUGAGGAGCUUGACUUGAUCUUUCCAUUCGACCCGUCUUGAAACACGGACCAAGGAGUCUAACAUAUAUGCGAGUGUUUGGGUGGCAAACCCCUACGCGGAAUGAAAGUAACUAGGUGGGAUCCCGUUUGGGUGCACCAUCAACCGACCAUGAUCCUUGUGUGAAAGGUUUGAGUAAGAGCAUAUCUGUUGGGACCCGAAAGAUGGUGAACUAUGCCUGAGCAGGGCGAAGCCAGGGGAAACUCUGGUGGAGGCUCGCAGCGAUACUGACGUGCAAAUCGUUCGUCAAACUUGGGUAUAGGGGCGAAAGACUAAUCGAACCAUCUAGUAGCUGGUUCCCUCCGAAGUUUCCCUCAGGAAAGG
RNAcentral lists this ribosomal RNA (1098 nucleotides) under uncultured eukaryote. Its description in RNAcentral is "eukaryotic LSU rRNA". It matches the Rfam family "Eukaryotic large subunit ribosomal RNA", at positions 23 to 982 of the family's 3401-position model. The record is from RNAcentral.